RNAcentral lists this transfer RNA (72 nucleotides) under Xenopus laevis (African clawed frog). It matches the Rfam family "tRNA". Rfam says of the family: Transfer RNA (tRNA) molecules are approximately 80 nucleotides in length. Lineage: Eukaryota; Metazoa; Chordata; Amphibia; Anura; Pipidae. The record is from Rfam by way of RNAcentral.
GCACUGGAGGUAUAGUGGUGAGCAUAGCUGCCUUCCAAGCAGUUGAUCCGGGUUCAUUUCCUGCCCAACGCA